AGAGAUUCUGAUUUAAUUGGGAACUGGGUUUUGAUAGUUUUAAAAGUUCCCCAGGUGACUCCAGUAUUCAGUCAAAGUUGUGGACCUUUAGCUACAUACUUAGCCUAGUGUCUCUAUUGUUCCAACUGGUGCCAUUGUUUGAUGGGAGAAAGCCCAGGGACAUGAAAAGAAAGAAGUCCACUGCCUUGAUCGUCUCAAUCAGCGAGCGCUGGAAAGGACACCCAGGAGACUAAGAUACUCGGUGGUGCACAUAGAGGUAGCUCCCUACUGCCUCCUUGAUCGUCACGGAAGCACACCAGAAGUUUUGUCUUAGCAGCCCACGCAGAGUGAAGAAUCCUCCAGGUCAGAGGAAUGCAAGAAUGAAGAGCGGCAUAAGCCCUCCAAAGAGAACAGAGCUAUCGGCAGCCUGAUGUGUUUUCAAAUUGAAAGCUGGGUAGUGCUUUUUCUUUUUUAGAUAUACACUUUGCUAUAAAAUAAAAUGCCACAAUCAACAGUUGGAUUUCACUGUUAUAACUUGUUCAGUUCCUUUAAAUUAAAUUGUGGUUAAAACC
This 551-nucleotide long non-coding RNA is filed under the name Equus asinus (donkey). Its description in RNAcentral is "lncRNA (ENSEASG00005024887.1)". Lineage: Eukaryota; Metazoa; Chordata; Mammalia; Perissodactyla; Equidae. The record is from RNAcentral.